Agelaius phoeniceus (red-winged blackbird) is the source of this 2018-nucleotide non-coding RNA. Lineage: Eukaryota; Metazoa; Chordata; Aves; Passeriformes; Icteridae. The record is from RefSeq and is a predicted model, not a curated record.
CAGAAUUUCAGCAUUUGCUACUUACUGGUAGAGAAGAAAAAUUCCACAGAACUGCCAGUACAGCACUUCAGAGGCUACCUACAAACAUGGUCUUGUCCAGCUGUUUUAUCUUACAUCAGAGUUACUGCUCUGCCUCUAUUUUAAUUCUGCCCUAUUCCAUAUUCCCAGAAAUUCUGGUAUUUUAUUUCUAUUGUGUAGAAUGUUUUAUACCUUAAAAUAGGAAAGAUUCUCUGUGAAUGAAUAAAAGAUGCAGCUUUCUCUGGAAUGGCUGCAUACAUUUAUUUCUAUUUUAGACUUUGUAUAUCUCAUCUCUGCAUAUCAGUAGAAGAGAUGAAAACCUUUUCUGUGCUGUAGGCAUGAAGCAGAGAUCAACAGCAGGAUGGGUUGUAAGAUUGUGCUUUAAUUCAUUUGUGAGGCCAUGAUGUCCCACUCUGAAUUUGAGGGGCUUUUGAUAUCACUGGUGGGUAAUUACUUAGUCAGCAGUGGGAAGGUCAUAGUUAUGUGGUAGCUGAACAGACACUUGAGUUUUCCCAGCUCAUCUGAAGGGUCUAGAAUGGGUUUAUGAGUGACUUGCCACUUCCAGCAGAAUUGCUUGGUUUAGGGUUCCAAAAUCUUGAGCAGUGCUGCAGAAUUCAUCAUAAAAACAUGCACAGUUUCAAGGCAAUUGUAUCUUCCCACAUUUCAGAAUAGUUACUCUUGCAUCCCAUUGCCUCUUAUCUUCUCUACAUCAGUUCUUGGUAAUUUACACUAAAUUGCUUUAUCCUCAAAAUGAGCUGCAGGCAAAUUUUGGACUAAUGUUGCAUAGGUUUUUCUUCCUAGAAGGGGGAAAAUUGUAUAUCUUAAUUAUAUACAAUAUACCUUAAUAUUUACAAAUUAGCUUUAUCUCUCUUUGCUUAAUCUUAAUUGCAGGUAUGCAAGAAUAAAAGGGAAACCUUGUUGUGAGGUUAACCCUGGUAACAGAAUGUGUCUGUAUUUCUUACACCAUCUGUGGCUGACCCUAGCUGAUGCUAGCAUUAAUGCAAUGCUCAGUACUAAGUUGGAGUGAGUAAAUGCUUUUGGCUGCUCAAUUACCUUAUCAAGUCCUGGUUUUGGCAGUGGCUGGAUGCAGACUUGCACUACUUUUACCCUGGCCUGGCAGUCAGUGGGGGAUAACUAAAGGGCAGAGUGUGUUCCAUAGUAUCUUAACAAAGAAAAAGUGCAUUUCUCCAGGAAAGAUUGUAGUAGAACUCUUUGUGAAAUUUUAAAUGGCAGUUACUUAUGGUACUUUUUGGUAGAAUAAAGUUUAUUUUCUUUUGAGAUAGGACCAAAACAAGACUGGAAAUUUGAACUUUGAUUACCAGGUAAACAGUGUUAAAUUGUAGCUCAACUUCUGACACACCAUUAGAGCAGCUGUCCAUUGUGAAGUGGUUCAGCAGUCAUCCCUCCCAGUUCUGGUACUGUGUAUUUGGAACAGUUUGUCAUUUUCCACUUUUUCCUUAGACUCUUUGCUGACUCCCAGUUGCCCUUUUAGAGUUUCUGGUCACUGUGCAGCAAACUCAAAAUAAGCAAACUCCAAGCUGGUUUUAGUACCUUGAUAAAGGACCUGGAAGCACAUGAGUGAACAGUGUCCCCUCUCGGUAGCAGUAUGGCCACAGAAGUUAGUGUCUUGUGAAGGGCUUUUUUCUGUAACUUAACUGAUACUGCUUUUGUGUUAAGUGGUAUGAAAGGGCUGGGAUUACUGAUCUUUUUCAAAAGACAGGUGGUGGCAAAAUACUGGUGUUGAAUUUAAUUCAAGAAAGUGAGAGACUGGUAAGUAUGUGCAUCACUUUAAUGCAUGCAAAUAAUAGUAACAAUAACAAGCUUAAUUUUAUAGCAUUCACUUUACAAAGAAGAUUAAAAGAAAAUGUGGAGCUGACAUGAUUUGCAUCCACUGGGAACCCUCUCUUGAACUGUUCUUCAGGAAUGGGUCAUUGCACACACAGCCAUCUGUAAUGUGUGACAUUUUGUAACAGUCUCUGAUUAAACAGAAGUGAACCACU